Molecule: ribosomal RNA, 547 nt
Filed under: uncultured Glomeromycotina
Lineage: Eukaryota; Fungi; Glomeromycota
Description: SSU rRNA
Rfam family: Eukaryotic small subunit ribosomal RNA
Source: RNAcentral
UUGGAGGGCAAGUCUGGUGCCAGCAGCCGCGGUAAUUCCAGCUCCAAUAGCGUAUAUUAAAGUUGUUGCAGUUAAAAAGCUCGUAGUUGAAUUUCGGGGUCAGUAGGCUGGUCGUGCCACGGGUAUGUACUGGUCUCACUGAUUCCUCCUUCCUGAUGAACCGUAAUGCCAUUAAUUUGGUGUUGCGGGGAAACUGGACUGUUACUUUGAAAAAAUUAGAGUGUUUAAAGCAGGCUAACGCUUGAAUACAUUAGCAUGGAAUAAUGAAAUAGGACGUUCGAUCCUAUUUUGUUGGUUUCUAGGAUUGACGUAAUGAUUAAUAGGGAUAGUUGGGGGCAUUAGUAUUCAAUUGUCAGAGGUGAAAUUCUUGGAUUUAUUGAAGACUAACUACUGCGAAAGCAUUUGCCAAGGAUGUUUUCAUUAAUCAAGAACGAAAGUUAGGGGAUCGAAGACGAUCAGAUACCGUCGUAGUCUUAACCAUAAACUAUGCCGACUAGGGAUCGGACGAUGUUAACUUUUCUUGACUCGUUCGGCGCCUUACGGGAAA